CCUUCGAUUUUCUAUCCUUUUAUAAUUUUUGGAAUAAAAGAAUAGAAAAUCGAAGGUG
RNAcentral lists this microRNA precursor (58 nucleotides) under Acyrthosiphon pisum (pea aphid). RNAcentral describes it as "microRNA api-mir-3018 precursor". The record is from miRBase by way of RNAcentral. Lineage: Eukaryota; Metazoa; Arthropoda; Insecta; Hemiptera; Aphididae.